This is a long non-coding RNA of Odocoileus virginianus texanus, 434 nucleotides long. RefSeq lists it as uncharacterized. Lineage: Eukaryota; Metazoa; Chordata; Mammalia; Artiodactyla; Cervidae. The record is from RefSeq and is a predicted model, not a curated record.
UUUCUCCCUUGAACUUGGGCAGGACCACACUCCUCUGCUGCAGAAAUGCCCCCAAGAUUAGCCUAAGUAGCAUUUGCAGCUCUUGACCAAGGAUUUCAGGGACGCAGUCUGUGUACUUCCCUCCAUUCCUCCUGUGUCCAGGGCAGCCUGUAUUUGGUAAUUGUGGAAUCUCUCCUCGUGAGCUCCACCUGGACCUCAGCACUCCUUGCUUGAUGAAGGCUGCCCUUCCUCAUAAAGUCCAUUUGCAUCCCUGGCAGGAGAUGCUGCUGCUGUGUCCUCAGAGUUCCAUGGAGUGAGUCUGUUCUACCUCCCCUGUCUUGUCCAGGGGCCUUACUUGUGGCUGACCCUUUCCACAUUGUAAGCCAGUGCGUACCCUAGUCCUGGAACCGAUGGCAAUAAAGUUUGCUAGAUGAGGCAGCACAGCCGCCAACAGA